AGACUGGGGCUCAACCCCAGGGGUGCGUUGGAUACUGUGAGGCUAGACGGUCGGAGGGGGUAGCGGAAUUUCCGGAGUAGCGGUGAAAUGCGCAGAUACCGGAAGGAACGCCAAUAGCGAAGGCAGCUACCUGGACGACUUGUGACGCUGAGGCGCGAAAGCGUGGGGAGCAAACCGGAUUAGAUACCCGGGUAGUCCACGCCCUAAACCAUGAGUGCUGGGUGUCCGGCUUCUGCUGGGUGCCGUAGCUAACGCGCUAAGCACUCCGCCUGGGAAGUACGCACGCAAGUGUGAAACUCAAAGGAAUUGACGGGGGCCCGCACAAGCGGUGGAGCAUGUGGUUUAAUUCGAAGCGACGCGAAGAACCUUACCAGGCCUUGACAUGCCCGGAACCCCUCUGAAAGGAGGGGGUGCCCGCAAGGGAGCCGGGACACAGGUGCUGCAUGGCCGUCGUCAGCUCGUGUCGUGAGAUGUUGGGUUAAGUCCCGCAACGAGCGCAACCCCUAUCCCUAGUUGCCAGCAGUUCGGCUGGGCACUCUAUGGAGACUGCCUGCGAAAGCAGGAGGAAGGCGGGGAUGACGUCUGGUCCGCAUGGCCCUUACGGCCUGGGCGACACACGUGCUACAAUGCCAAGGACAGAGCGCUGCUACCUCGCGAGAGGACGCCAAUCGCAAAAACCUUGGCUCAGUUCGGAUUGGAGUCUGCAACUCGACUCCAUGAAGCCGGAAUC
Molecule: ribosomal RNA, 730 nt
Filed under: uncultured Thermaceae bacterium
Lineage: Bacteria; Thermotogati; Deinococcota; Deinococci; Thermales; Thermaceae
Description: bacterial SSU rRNA
Rfam family: Bacterial small subunit ribosomal RNA
Source: RNAcentral